GGGCGAUUAGCUCAGUGGUAGAGCGACCGCCUUACACGCGGUAGGCCGUAGGUUCAAUCCCUACAUCGCCCA
Molecule: transfer RNA, 72 nt
Filed under: Candidatus Doudnabacteria bacterium RIFCSPHIGHO2_01_FULL_50_11
Lineage: Bacteria; Candidatus Doudnaibacteriota
Also listed under: 2 other names
Description: tRNA-Val
Rfam family: tRNA
About the family: Transfer RNA (tRNA) molecules are approximately 80 nucleotides in length. Their secondary structure includes four short double-helical elements and three loops (D, anti-codon, and T loops).
Source: RNAcentral